GGAAGAGUGGCCGAGUGGUUGAAGGCACCGGUCUUGAAAACCGGCAGGCGGGUAACCGUCUCGUGGGUUCGAAUCCCACCUCUUCCGCCA
RNAcentral lists this transfer RNA (90 nucleotides) under Stappia indica. RNAcentral describes it as "tRNA-Ser". It matches the Rfam family "tRNA". Rfam says of the family: Transfer RNA (tRNA) molecules are approximately 80 nucleotides in length. RNAcentral also lists the same sequence under 1 other name. Lineage: Bacteria; Pseudomonadati; Pseudomonadota; Alphaproteobacteria; Hyphomicrobiales; Stappiaceae. The record is from RNAcentral.